UACAGAGGGGGCAAGCGUUAUUCGGAAUUAUUGGGCGUAAAGGGCGCGUAGGCGGCUUGGCAAGUGGAAGGUGAAAUCCCUCGGCUUAACCGGGGAACUGCGUCCGAUACUGGUUGGCUUGAGUUUGGGAGAGGGUAGUGGAAUUCCCGGUGUAGUGGUGAAAUGCGUAGAUAUCGGGAGGAACACCAGUGGCGAAGGCGACUACCUGGCCUGUUCUUGACGCUGAGGCGCGAAAGCUAGGGGAGCAAACGGG
This 253-nucleotide ribosomal RNA is filed under the name uncultured bacterium. RNAcentral's name for it is "partial 16S ribosomal RNA". It matches the Rfam family "Bacterial small subunit ribosomal RNA", at positions 524 to 776 of the family's 1533-position model. The record is from RNAcentral.